RNAcentral lists this ribosomal RNA (425 nucleotides) under uncultured bacterium. RNAcentral describes it as "partial 16S ribosomal RNA". It matches the Rfam family "Bacterial small subunit ribosomal RNA", at positions 354 to 796 of the family's 1533-position model. The record is from RNAcentral.
GUGAGGAAUUUUCCGCAAUGGGCGAAAGCCUGACGGAGCAAUGCCGCGUGAAGGAUGAAGGCCUAUGGGUUGUAAACUUCUUUUCUCAGAAAAGAAUUAUGACGGUAUCUGAGGAAUAAGCAUCGGCUAACUCUGUGCCAGCAGCCGCGGUAAGACAGAGGAUGCAAGCGUUAUCCGGAAUGAUUGGGCGUAAAGCGUCUGUAGGUUGUUUAAAAAGUAUUCUGUCAAAGAUUAGGGCUUAACCCUAGAUAGGCAGAAUAAACUUUUAAGCUAGAGUUUGGUAGAGGCAGAGGGAAUUCCCGGUGGAGCGGUGAAAUGCGUAGAUAUCGGGAGGAACACCAAAGGCGAAGGCACUCUGCUGGGCCAAUACUAACACUGAGAGACGAAAGCGAGGGGAGCAAAUGGGAUUAGAUACCGUGUAGUCC